This is a long non-coding RNA of Solanum dulcamara, 1901 nucleotides long. RefSeq lists it as uncharacterized. The record is from RefSeq and is a predicted model, not a curated record. The transcript has 2 exons. Lineage: Eukaryota; Viridiplantae; Streptophyta; Magnoliopsida; Solanales; Solanaceae.
UUCAAGAAACUUGGAGAAAAGAGGGGAAAAAAAAUAAGAGAGGAAAAUUGGCAUAGCUAGGGAUUUUAUCCCUUGAAAUCUUGUUCCAAAAUUAAUUCUUCUAAUAUUCCAAGCAAGUUGAAGGCCCUAAUCAACAUAGAGUGAUUUUUGGAACAAGAAGACUAUUCAUUCUUGCAAGGCACAAUUCUAGCAAGUUGAAGAACUAAGUGGAAAAGAUUUUAGAAAGGCCAAGAGUUAGGUCGGGUGACUAAGGAAGCGGACAAGGUAUGUAAAGCUAACCGUUCCUUCUUUUGGCAUGUCUUUGGUAUAAGUAUGUAAGGCUUACCCUUUUCUUUCAAGGCAUGAUUCCGAUGUUAUGGUUUGAUAAGUGCUUCCAUAUUUUCUUUGUUUUCAAAAGCUAGGUGUCAAUGGUCCCAAGGAAAUGACUACUUUUUCCUAUAACCCGUUAAUAUUUUCCAAAAUGUCUAUAGUUUCCCAAAACAAAGGUUUGCAAUAUUACUAGCUUUUAUGGCAAUGACGAUGGAUAUGUUUUACAACGACAUUGAUGAUGUCGAGGAUGAGAAUAUGUCUAUGAUGGAUAUGAUAAGAACGGCUUCAUGUAUGUAAUGUUUACUCUUCUUUCUCUUGGCAUGUUUUGACAUAAGUAUAUAGAGCUACACUUUCUUUUGGCAUGAUUUUUAUGAAACAAGUAUAUGUCAUUUUGUACAAUUUCAAGGAAGUCCUAUUCGUAGAGCCACUAGGAUGGUCAAUUUUCUUGAGUUUCCAAAAGAUAUUUUUCUCGUGCUUAAAUACGUGUAUAUGAUUCCAAAAGUUUUAUGUUGAUAUAAUCCAUGGUAAUUUUUGAAAGGUACUUGAUAUGACUCUUAUCUUGUUUUGUUAAUCAUAGCUCAUUCCGAUUAUUCUACGAGUCUUGAAAAUUGGUCAUAUGUGCAUAUGUAUACGAUUUGACGCCUUAUAAGAUUGUGACCUUAUUCUACGUUCUCUUAAUAUUAUCUUUCGUUGAUAGUCUCAUCCUAUAAUAAUUGUUCCUUCAAGGUGAGACAAAGCGACCAUGGUUAGUCUAUAAUACAAUCGGAGGUUACCGACCUUCCGUCACUCCGAUAAAUACACGACUUUCAUUGGGCUCUCCUGCAUGCUGUCUAUAUGUAUAUGUAUAUGUAUAUGUGGGAUAUGGGGAGGUGUAUAUGUGGUGCUAUAGACACAUUCCCACCUGAUCAGUUGGAGUAAUUUUCAUCCUGGACGCGGGAUGCCCGGACGCGGGACAUAUGUGGGCACGCCGACGUUGUUCGGUGAUAUGACUUCUAUUUUCUAUGAAUAUGAACAAGAAAUGUUUUUUUUAUGAUAAGACAAGCAUGCAUGGCAUCCGGCCUAAAAGGGCACUCAUAUGUACAGGUUACUCUCUUAUCUCACUAUAUGUCUAUGAUUCUACGAUAUGGUUGUUCAUACCUUAUGUUCUUUAUUAUGCUGAUUUUCAUGCCUUACAUACUCGGUACAUUACUCGUACUGACCCCCUUUUCUUUGGGGGCUGCGUUUCAUGCCACGCAGGUACACCCAGACAAGUAGAAGUUACCAUAGAAGAUGUUGCAGCAGGGUUAGCAACUCCACUUGUUCUUGGAGUGCUGCCGAGUCAGAGUAUAUGUGCUAUGAUAUUUCAUUCGAAGUUAGAGACCUUGCAGACAGAGUCGUGGGUAUAGAGUGUCAUAUGUUAUGAGUUUUAUGGGAUGAUAGAUUUUGGAAAAAAUAAUUCACGAAGCGUAGUUAUGUUUUUCAUUUCUUGUUGAUGUAAAAGUCUAAGAGAUUGAGAAUGUAAUAUGAAUUAGCGGGUUCGCUCGGCUCCAAGCAUGGGGUCGGGUGCCCAGCACACCCUGUUGAGAUCGGGGUGUGAUAAUUCUUCCCAUUGA